UAAUAAUUCAAACUCCAAGCUAGCUGAACCUAAUGAGCAAUCGAUGGUUCUCUGGCCAGGGCUUAAGCCCUCGGGGUUUAUUCGGAAACGGGUAUGCCUUCACAUUUGAAAAGGAGUGGACUGGCUGGCAAG
This 132-nucleotide non-coding RNA is filed under the name Desulfosporosinus sp. Its description in RNAcentral is "MoCo sequence". It matches the Rfam family "Molybdenum/Tungsten riboswitch aptamer (Moco RNA motif)". The record is from RNAcentral. Lineage: Bacteria; Bacillati; Bacillota; Clostridia; Eubacteriales; Desulfitobacteriaceae.